Molecule: long non-coding RNA, 533 nt
Organism: Canis lupus familiaris (dog)
Lineage: Eukaryota; Metazoa; Chordata; Mammalia; Carnivora; Canidae
Exons: 3
Source: RefSeq, a predicted model, not a curated record
CCCGCCUUCCCGCGCUCCCAUUGGCCCCCGCAGGCCCCGUGGGCGGCACCCUCUGUGGCCUGGUUGGUGGGGGAACAGGGAGGCGCCAUCUUGACGGAGUGCCGGGCGCAGAGACGGAUUUGGCCUCCGGGAAGAGGAAGAGGCAGGCUCCACGCAAGGAGCCCAGCGUGGGACUGGAUCCCAGGUCUCCAGGAUCAGGCCCUGGGCUGAAGGUGGCGCUAAACCGCUGAGCCACCUGGGCGGCCCUAGCACAGGAAUUUAAAAGGCUCUACCUAAUCCAGACUCACUCUCUUUCAGUUACUCUGCUGUUCCUUCAGAUCCUGAGCCAAGGUGAAGAACAGGCGGAGGCAAUUAUUGCUAAGUAAGAAAGAUUUGAAAGAUGACAAUAAGACCUCAUGCCCAAACAUACCUUCUCCCUUCUUCAACUCAUAUCAGAUGGCUGAAGCACCAGUAUUGACAGUUAUUUUGUUGAGAUUUUAUUUUAUUUACUCAUGAGAGAUACAGAGCAGGAGAGAAAGAGGCAGAGACACAGG